GGAUGUGAGCACGGUCUGGCUGCGACAUCUGUCACCCUACUGAUCUCCAGGGUUGAUUUGACUGAUCUGGUUGGUUAUAGGCAGGUGUCCCCUUCCUCCUUCACCGCUCUAUGUGCAUCCCACCCAAAGCUGCGCACACGAUGCAAGAGGACAAUAAUCCCAGACAGGAGUGUACUAUUCAGUAUCUUGGAAUUUUGCUUGAAUUGUUAUAACCUACCCAAUACUGAAGGUUCAGGUAGGUAGCCGUGUUGGUCUGAUGCAGUCGAAAUAAAAAUUUAAAAAAUUAAAAAAUUAUCCAGUAGCACCUUAUAGACCAACUAAGUUUGUUCUGGUAUAAGCU
Podarcis lilfordi (Lilford's wall lizard) is the source of this 340-nucleotide non-coding RNA. The record is from the annotation of a GenBank genome assembly. NCBI's taxonomy places the organism in Eukaryota, Metazoa, Chordata, Lepidosauria, Squamata, Lacertidae.